This 497-nucleotide ribosomal RNA is filed under the name uncultured bacterium. Its description in RNAcentral is "partial 16S ribosomal RNA". It matches the Rfam family "Bacterial small subunit ribosomal RNA", at positions 28 to 507 of the family's 1533-position model. The record is from RNAcentral.
GGUGAACGCUGGCGGCGUGCCUAAUACAUGCAAGUCGAACGAACAGACGAGGAGCUUGCUCCUCUGCCGUUAGCGGCGGACGGGUGAGUAACACGUGGAUAACCUACCUAUUAUACUGGGAUAACUUCGGGAAACCGGAUCUAAUACCGGCUCAUAUAUUGAACCGCAUGAUUCAAUAGUUAUUGACGGUUUUGCUGUCACUUAUAGAUGGUUCCGCGCUGCCUUAACUAGUUGGUAAGGUAACGGCUUACCAAGGCAACGAUGCGUAGCCGACCUGCUUGGGUGAUCGGCCACACUGGAACUGGGACACGGUCCAGACUCCUACGGGAGGCAGCAGUAGGGAAUCUUCCGCAAAGGGCGAAAGCCUGACGGAGCAACGCCGCGUGAGUGAUGAAGGUCUUCGGAUCGUAAAACUCUGUUAUUAGGGAAGAACAAAUGUGUAAGUAACUAUGCACGUCUUGACGGUACCUAAUCAGAAAGCCACGGCUAACUACGUG